Molecule: unclassified non-coding RNA, 85 nt
Filed under: Pseudomonas gessardii
Lineage: Bacteria; Pseudomonadati; Pseudomonadota; Gammaproteobacteria; Pseudomonadales; Pseudomonadaceae
Source: RNAcentral
GUGGGAGCUGGCUUGCCUGCGAUUGCAUCACUGUGAUCUGCCUGACAGACCCAGUCGCCCGCAUCGCAGGCAAGCCAGCUCCCAC